RNAcentral lists this transfer RNA (77 nucleotides) under Akkermansiaceae bacterium. RNAcentral describes it as "tRNA-Met". It matches the Rfam family "tRNA". Rfam says of the family: Transfer RNA (tRNA) molecules are approximately 80 nucleotides in length. Their secondary structure includes four short double-helical elements and three loops (D, anti-codon, and T loops). Lineage: Bacteria; Pseudomonadati; Verrucomicrobiota; Verrucomicrobiia; Verrucomicrobiales; Akkermansiaceae. The record is from RNAcentral.
CGCGGAGUAGAUCAGUUGGUAGAUCGCGCGGGCUCAUAUCCCGCAACGCGCCGGUUCGAGUCCGGCCUCCGCAACCA